AUGGCUAAUUCUAAUGCGGCUUUAGGCCAUGAUGGUUUCUCCAUUCCGUUCUUUCGACAAUUCUGGCCCCAACUAAAAGGUCUAAUUUCUGCUGUCAUCCAAGGGUAUUGGCUGGUAUCGGUUGACAUUGCUAGACUUAACUAUGCGGUUCUCUCCCUCAUCCCUAAGGUCAAGGGUGCGGAUAUGAUUUCUCAAUUUAGGCCGAUUGCUUUAAUCAACAACUUCGCAAAGAUGCCUGCAAAGGGCAUGGCCACUAGGCUAUCUCCCAUUGCACAUCGGACCAUUAGCCCUUUCCAGUCUGCUUUCAUCAAAGGGAGGUUCAUUUUGGACGGGGUACUUUGUUUACAUGAGAUUGUUCAUGACUUACGGGUGCGAGGGACCAAGGCUGUGGUUCUCAAACUUGACUUUGAAAAGGCCUACGACUCGGUUAGCUGGAAAUUCCUUCGGCAAGUUCUUUUGGCUAAGGGCUUUGAGGGGCCUGUUAUGCAGCACUUGAUGCAAUUGGUUUCUGGGGGGACACGGCUGUGGCUGUCAAUGGCCAAACUAGCCAGUUUUUUGCUAAUGGCAGGGGCCUCAGGCAAGGGGAUCCAGCGUCCCCUUUACUCUUCAACUUUGUGGUUGAUGCUCUAUCUCGCAUUCUCUCUCGAGCUGCCUUGGCUGGUCAUAUCACUCUGGUGA
This 678-nucleotide ribosomal RNA is filed under the name Triticum aestivum (bread wheat). RNAcentral's name for it is "partial small subunit ribosomal RNA". The record is from RNAcentral. Lineage: Eukaryota; Viridiplantae; Streptophyta; Magnoliopsida; Poales; Poaceae.